UAAAGGUGACGAAAGCGCUGGUGUGCACCUCUUCCCAUUCCGAACAGAGCAGUUAAGCCCAGCAGCGCCGAUGGUACUUCGAUAAUACGCGGGAGAGUAGGUAGUUGCCAUCUU
Molecule: ribosomal RNA, 114 nt
Filed under: Cardinium endosymbiont cBtQ1 of Bemisia tabaci
Lineage: Bacteria; Pseudomonadati; Bacteroidota; Cytophagia; Cytophagales; Amoebophilaceae
Source: RNAcentral